AUGCAAGUCGAGGGGUAUAGUUCUUCGGAAUUAGAGACCGGCGCACGGGUGCGUAACGCGUAUGCAAUCUACCUUUCACAGAGGGAUAGCCCAGAGAAAUUUGGAUUAAUACCUCAUAGUAUAAUUGAAUGGCAUCAUUUAAUUAUUAAAGAUUUAUCGGUGAAAGAUGAGCAUGCGUCCCAUUAGCUAGUUGGUAUGGUAACGGCAUACCAAGGCUACGAUGGGUAGGGGUCCUGAGAGGGAGAUCCCCCACACUGGUACUGAGACACGGACCAGACUCCUACGGGAGGCAGCAGUGAGGAAUAUUGGACAAUGGGCGCAAGCCUGAUCCAGCCAUGCCGCGUGCAGGAUGACGGUCCUAUGGAUUGUAAACUGCUUUUAUACGAGAAGAAACACUCCUUCGUGAAGGAGCUUGACGGUAUCGUAAGAAUAAGGAUCGGCUAACUCCGUGCCAGCAGCCGCGGUAAUACGGAGGAUCCAAGCGUUAUCCGGAAUCAUUGGGUUUAAAGGGUCCGUAGGCGGUUUAGUAAGUCAGUGGUGAAAGCCCAUCGCUCAACGGUGGAACGGCCAUUGAUACUGCUAGACUUGAAUUAUUAGGAAGUAACUAGAAUAUGUAGUGUAGCGGUGAAAUGCUUAGAGAUUACAUGGAAUACCAAUUGCGAAGGCAGGUUACUACUAAUAUAUUGACGCUGAUGGACGAAAGCGUGGGUAGCGAACAGGAUUAGAUACCCUGGUAGUCCACGCCGUAAACGAUGGAUACUAGCUGUUGGGAGCAAUCUCAGUGGCUAAGCGAAAGUGAUAAGUAUCCCACCUGGGGAGUACGAACGCAAGUUUGAAACUCAAAGGAAUUGACGGGGGCCCGCACAAGCGGUGGAGCAUGUGGUUUAAUUCGAUGAUACGCGAGGAACCUUACCAAGGCUUAAAUGUAGAUUGACCGGUUUGGAAACAGACUUUUCGCAAGACAAUUUACAAGGUGCUGCAUGGUUGUCGUCAGCUCGUGCCGUGAGGUGUCAGGUUAAGUCCUAUAACGAGCGCAACCCCUGUUGUUAGUUGCCAGCGAGUCAUGUCGGGAACUCUAACG
Molecule: ribosomal RNA, 1081 nt
Filed under: Flavobacterium sp.
Lineage: Bacteria; Pseudomonadati; Bacteroidota; Flavobacteriia; Flavobacteriales; Flavobacteriaceae
Description: bacterial SSU rRNA
Rfam family: Bacterial small subunit ribosomal RNA
Source: RNAcentral